This 540-nucleotide transfer RNA is filed under the name uncultured Prochlorococcus sp. Its description in RNAcentral is "partial 16S-23S ribosomal RNA intergenic spacer". The stretch from base 212 to 284 matches the Rfam family "tRNA". The record is from RNAcentral. Lineage: Bacteria; Bacillati; Cyanobacteriota; Cyanophyceae; Synechococcales; Prochlorococcaceae.
CAGGGAGACAACAAAAUGUUUUAUAUUAUUAUUUUGUCACCUUAGGUCGAUCGGUAUCUCACGUUCUUACUUAAUUAAGAAUUUUAUUUCCUAAGUUUUUCUAGGUCACACCCAUUAUUUUUCCUGGGCCAUUAGCUCAGGUGGUUAGAGCGCACCCCUGAUAAGGGUGAGGUCCCUGGUUCAAGUCCAGGAUGGCCCAUAUCUCUAUGUUGGGGGUAUAGCUCAGUUGGUAGAGCGCCUGCUUUGCAAGCAGGAUGUCAGCGGUUCGAGUCCGCUUACCUCCACUGAUUACCACCUCUUCCAUAAUCUAUAGAAGGGAAAUAUUUUGAGUUGUGAUCAAAUACUGAACGAAUCUAGCUUCCUAAUGAAACCAUUAAGAUGCUGGACUCAUUGAAUUAAUUUCAUUGUUUUCAGAGAACCUUGACAACUGCAUAGAUUAUUUUUAAAGACAAUAAGCAUCUUUAAUGAUGCAGAUUUAUUAUUUGUGCGAAUGCAUUAAUAACAAUUCUAUUAAGCUGAUGCUUCAAUUUUGAAGUUAUU